Molecule: RNA transcript, 585 nt
Organism: Eucalyptus grandis
Lineage: Eukaryota; Viridiplantae; Streptophyta; Magnoliopsida; Myrtales; Myrtaceae
Exons: 4
Source: RefSeq, a predicted model, not a curated record
AUGGCAUUGAAACAAGUAGUGUUUGUACUAGUUUUGCUUCCAAUCUACAGGUGUAGAGCUACAAAUAUAUCCAAAAAUUAUGACAUCGAAUUGGAAGAGCAGCUCAAGCUUCUAAACAAGCCGCCAAUCGAGACAUUCCUGCAUGUAACCAUACGGUUCGAUCAACCUGAUGUCAUUAUCAUAAAGUAUGGUAGUAGCGCAUAUAUCUCUGUCCACAACUUAACUGUAGCUCAAGGUCAAUAUAGUGCGCAUAACAUAUGGAUUUCAACUGGACCAUUGGAUCGACUCAGCAUGGUUGUAGCCGGUUGGCAGGGAAAUGGUUGGCGCAAUGGUUGCUACAACACGAACUGCGCAGGUUUUGUACAGAUGGACAGAACCGUGACUCUCAAUUAUCCAAUUCCAACAGUUUCUAAAGAUGGUGGACCCAUAUAUGAACUCAAAAUUGAUACUUCCCAGGACAGGGUGACUGGGAAUUGGUGGCUGCGCGUUCAUGACCCGCCGAUCGAUGUGGGCCAUUGGCCCAAGGCGUUAUUCAAUUUUUUACAGGAUGGAACGUCCGCCGUGGCGUGGGGGAGGAACCGCUAA